GAUGAACGCUAGCGGCAGGCCUAAUACAUGCAAGUCGAACGCACAGCGAAAGGUGCUUGCACCUUUCAAGUGAGUGGCGAACGGGUGAGUAACACGUGGACAACCUGCCUCAAGGCUGGGGAUAACAUUUGGAAACAGAUGCUAAUACCGAAUGAAACUUAGUGUCGCAUGAUACGAAGUUAAAAGGCGCUUUGGCGUCACCUAGAGAUGGAUCCGCGGUGCAUUAGUUAGGUGGUGGGGUAAAGGCCUACCAAGACAAUGAUGCAUAGCCGGGUUGAGAGACUGAUCGGCCACAUUGGGACUGAGACACGGCCCAAACUCCUACGGGAGGCUGCAGUAGGGAAUCUUCCACAAUGGGCGAAAGCCUGAGGGAGCAACGCCGCGUGUGUGAUGAAGGCUUUCGGGUCGUAAAGCACUGUUGUAUGGGAAGAACAGCUAGAAUAGGGAAUGAUUUUAGUUUGACGGUACCAUACCAGAAAGGGACGGCUAAAUACGUGCCAGCCGCCGCAGUAA
This 513-nucleotide ribosomal RNA is filed under the name uncultured bacterium. RNAcentral's name for it is "partial 16S ribosomal RNA". It matches the Rfam family "Bacterial small subunit ribosomal RNA", at positions 28 to 523 of the family's 1533-position model. The record is from RNAcentral.